UACGUAGGGUGCAAGCGUUAAUCGGAAUUACUGGGCGUAAAGCGUGCGCAGGCGGUUUUGUAAGUCUGACGUGAAAGCCCCGGGCUCAACCUGGGAAUUGCGUUGGAGACUGCAAGGCUUGAAUCUGGCAGAGGGGGGUAGAAUUCCACGUGUAGCAGUGAAAUGCGUAGAGAUGUGGAGGAACACCGAUGGUGAAGGCAGCCCCCUGGGUCAAGAUUGACGCUCAUGCACGAAAGCGUGGGGAGCAAACAGG
Molecule: ribosomal RNA, 253 nt
Filed under: uncultured bacterium
Lineage: Bacteria
Description: partial 16S ribosomal RNA
Rfam family: Bacterial small subunit ribosomal RNA
Source: RNAcentral